This 245-nucleotide unclassified non-coding RNA is filed under the name Hevea brasiliensis (rubber tree). The record is from RNAcentral. Lineage: Eukaryota; Viridiplantae; Streptophyta; Magnoliopsida; Malpighiales; Euphorbiaceae.
AAAGAGCUGCUUGGACUAUUGGUUUCAACAUUGAUUUUUGGUCUACAAUAUAUGGGGGUAUAGUUAUUUCUGGUUUGGUGGGCUAUAUUCAAUUGUGGUGCACAGAGGAAAAGGGACCUGUUUUUGUGACUAUGUUCAAUCCACUAUCAACUAUAUUAGUGGCACUUCUAGCAUACUUUGUGUUUGGGGAAAAGCUAUAUAUGGGCAGAAUCAUAGGAGCAAUAAUUGUCAUUGUUGGUCUUUAU